This 404-nucleotide ribosomal RNA is filed under the name Actinomycetes bacterium. RNAcentral's name for it is "Actinobacteria bacterium partial 16S ribosomal RNA". It matches the Rfam family "Bacterial small subunit ribosomal RNA", at positions 355 to 776 of the family's 1533-position model. Lineage: Bacteria; Bacillati; Actinomycetota; Actinomycetes. The record is from RNAcentral.
UGGGGAAUAUUGGACAAUGGGCGCAAGCCUGAUCCAGCCAUGCCGCGUGAGUGAUGAAGGCCCUAGGGUUGUAAAGCUCUUUCACCGGUGAAGAUAAUGACGGUAACCGGAGAAGAAGCCCCGGCUAACUUCGUGCCAGCAGCCGCGGUAAUACGAAGGGGGCUAGCGUUGUUCGGAUUUACUGGGCGUAAAGCGCACGUAGGCGGACUUUUAAGUCAGGGGUGAAAUCCCGGGGCUCAACCCCGGAACUGCCUUUGAUACUGGAAGUCUUGAGUAUGGUAGAGGUGAGUGGAAUUCCGAGUGGAGAGGUGAAAUUCGUAGAUAUUCGGAGGAACACCAGUGGCGAAGGCGGCUCACUGGACCAUUACUGACGCUGGGGUGCGAAAGCGUGGGGAGCAAACAGG